AUGGCAAAGUUUUGGUGGGCUGGUUCACUUGACAAACAAGGAAUGCAUUGGCAAUCUUGGGAUAAAAUGGCAAUCCCAAAGAAUAAAGGAGGAUUGGGGUUUCGAGACCUACAGAUCUUUAAUGAUGCAAUGCUUGCCAAGCAAGCAUGGAGGUUACUGGAUAAACCACAAAGUUUAUGUGCUCGUAUGCUUCGAGCUAGGUACUAUGCUGAUGGUGAUAUUUUACAAGCAAAUUGCCCAAAGAGUGCAUCACCAACAUGGAGAGCGAUUAUAAUCGGAAGGAAUGUGCUAAAGGAGGGGCUUAUCAGGAGGAUUGGAAGUGGACGAACUACAGAAAUUUGGCAUGACAGAUGGUUGCCA
RNAcentral lists this ribosomal RNA (360 nucleotides) under Triticum aestivum (bread wheat). RNAcentral's name for it is "partial small subunit ribosomal RNA". Lineage: Eukaryota; Viridiplantae; Streptophyta; Magnoliopsida; Poales; Poaceae. The record is from RNAcentral.